GGUUCUAUGGUGUAAUGGUUAGCACAUUGGAUUUUGAUUCCAGGGAUCUGGGUUCAAUUCCCAGUAGAACCU
Mollisiaceae sp. DMI_Dod_QoI is the source of this 72-nucleotide non-coding RNA. The record is from the annotation of a GenBank genome assembly. Lineage: Eukaryota; Fungi; Ascomycota; Leotiomycetes; Helotiales; Mollisiaceae.